GAUGAAGAACGUAGCGAAAUGCGAUAAGUAAUGUGAAUUGCAGAAUUCAGUGAAUCAUCGAGUCUUUGAACGCACAUUGCGCCCCCUGGUAUUCCGGGGGGCAUGCCUGUCCGAGCGUCAUUGCUGCCCUCAAGCACGGCUUGUGUGUUGGGCCCCCGUCCCCGGUUUCCCCCGGGGACGGGCCCGAAAGGCAGCGGCGGCACCGCGUCCGGUCCUCGAGCGUAUGGGGCUUUGUCACCCGCUCGAUUAGGGCCGGCCGGGCGCCAGCCGGCGUCUCCAACCUUCUAUUUUACCAGGUUGACCUCGGAUCAGGUAGGGAUACCCGCUGAACUUAAGCAUAUCAAUAAGCGGAGGA
Molecule: unclassified non-coding RNA, 355 nt
Filed under: soil metagenome
Description: partial contains 5.8S ribosomal RNA, internal transcribed spacer 2, and large subunit ribosomal RNA
Rfam family: 5.8S ribosomal RNA (bases 1-120)
Source: RNAcentral